GAUCCUGGCUUAGGAUGAACGCUAGCGACAGGCUUAACACAUGCAAGUCGAGGGGCAGCAUAAAAGUAGCAAUACUUGGUGGCGACCGGCGCACGGGUGAGUAACGCGUAUGCAACCUACCUAUCAGAGGGGAAUAACCCGGCGAAAGUCGGACUAAUACCGCAUAAAACAGGGGCACCGCAUGGUGAUAUUUGUUAAAGAAAUUCGCUGAUAGAUGGGCAUGCGUUCCAUUAGGUAGUUGGUGAGGUAACGGCUCACCAAGCCGACGAUGGAUAGGGGAACUGAGAGGUUGGUCCCCCACACUGGUACUGAGACACGGACCAGACUCCUACGGGAGGCAGCAGUGAGGAAUAUUGGUCAAUGGGCGGGAGCCUGAACCAGCCAAGUCGCGUGGAAAAGGGAAGAAGGAUCUAUGGUUCGUAAACUUCUUUUGCAGGGGAAUAAAGUGCAGGACGUGUCCUGUUUUGUAUGUACCCUGAGAAUAAGGAUCGGCUAACUCCGUGCCAGCAGCAGC
RNAcentral lists this ribosomal RNA (514 nucleotides) under uncultured bacterium. RNAcentral describes it as "bacterial SSU rRNA". It matches the Rfam family "Bacterial small subunit ribosomal RNA", at positions 15 to 518 of the family's 1533-position model. The record is from RNAcentral.